AACAAGGCGUACCUGCGGACCUGCGGAGGGAUCAUUACCAGAGAGCCUUUUGGCACUCCAACCCAUUGUGAACAUACCUAUCGUUCCCUCGGCGGGCUCAGCGCGCGGGGCCUCCGGGCUUCCGGGCGUCCGCCGGGGACAACCAAACCCUGAUUUACUACGUGUAUCUCUGAGGGGCGAAAGCCCGAAAACAAAAUAAAUCAAAACUUUUAACAACGGAUCUCAGAUCGGAAGAGCACA
RNAcentral lists this unclassified non-coding RNA (240 nucleotides) under soil metagenome. Its description in RNAcentral is "partial contains 5.8S ribosomal RNA, internal transcribed spacer 2, and large subunit ribosomal RNA". The record is from RNAcentral.